RNAcentral lists this ribosomal RNA (569 nucleotides) under Serratia proteamaculans. Its description in RNAcentral is "bacterial SSU rRNA". It matches the Rfam family "Bacterial small subunit ribosomal RNA", at positions 558 to 1127 of the family's 1533-position model. The record is from RNAcentral. Lineage: Bacteria; Pseudomonadati; Pseudomonadota; Gammaproteobacteria; Enterobacterales; Yersiniaceae.
GCGUAAGCGCACGCAGGCGGUUUGUUAAGUCAGAUGUGAAAUCCCCGCGCUUAACGUGGGAACUGCAUUUGAAACUGGCAAGCUAGAGUCUUGUAGAGGGGGGUAGAAUUCCAGGUGUAGCGGUGAAAUGCGUAGAGAUCUGGAGGAAUACCGGUGGCGAAGGCGGCCCCCUGGACAAAGACUGACGCUCAGGUGCGAAAGCGUGGGGAGCAAACAGGAUUAGAUACCCUGGUAGUCCACGCUGUAAACGAUGUCGACUUGGAGGUUGUGCCCUUGAGGCGUGGCUUCCGGAGCUAACGCGUUAAGUCGACCGCCUGGGGAGUACGGCCGCAAGGUUAAAACUCAAAUGAAUUGACGGGGGCCCGCACAAGCGGUGGAGCAUGUGGUUUAAUUCGAUGCAACGCGAAGAACCUUACCUACUCUUGACAUCCAGAGAAUUCGCUAGAGAUAGCUUAGUGCCUUCGGGAACUCUGAGACAGGUGCUGCAUGGCUGUCGUCAGCUCGUGUUGUGAAAUGUUGGGUUAAGUCCCGCAACCAGCGCAACCCUUAUCCUUUGUUGCCAGCGCGUA